GACGAACGCUGGCGGCGUGCUUAACACAUGCAAGUCGAACGGAAAGGCCCAGCUUGCUGGGUGCUCGAGUGGCGAACGGGUGAGUAACACGUGGGUGAUCUGCCCCUAACUUCGGGAUAAGCUUGGGAAACUGGGUCUAAUACCGGAUAGGACAAUCGUUUAGUGUCGGUUGUGGAAAGUUUUUUCGGUUAGGGAUGAGCCCGCGGCCUAUCAGCUUGUUGGUGGGGUAAUGGCCUACCAAGGCGUCGACGGGUAGCCGGCCUGAGAGGGUGGACGGCCACAUUGGGACUGAGAUACGGCCCAGACUCCUACGGGAGGCAGCAGUGGGGAAUAUUGCACAAUGGGCGCAAGCCUGAUGCAGCGACGCCGCGUGGGGGAUGACGGCCUUCGGGUUGUAAACCUCUUUCGACAGGGACGAAGCUUUGGUGACGGUACCUGUAUAAGAAGCACCGGCUAACUACGUG
Molecule: ribosomal RNA, 464 nt
Filed under: uncultured bacterium
Lineage: Bacteria
Description: partial 16S ribosomal RNA
Rfam family: Bacterial small subunit ribosomal RNA
Source: RNAcentral